GGAUGCAAUCAUACCAGCACUAAAGCACCGGAUCCCAUCAGAAUUCCGAAGUUAAGCGUGCUUGGGCGAGAGUAGUACUAGGAUGGGUGACCUCCUGGGAAGUCCUCGUGUUGCAUUCU
RNAcentral lists this ribosomal RNA (119 nucleotides) under Hordeum vulgare subsp. vulgare (domesticated barley). The record is from RNAcentral. Lineage: Eukaryota; Viridiplantae; Streptophyta; Magnoliopsida; Poales; Poaceae.